Long non-coding RNA from Cygnus atratus (black swan), 701 nucleotides. RefSeq lists it as uncharacterized. The transcript has 3 exons. NCBI's taxonomy places the organism in Eukaryota, Metazoa, Chordata, Aves, Anseriformes, Anatidae. The record is from RefSeq and is a predicted model, not a curated record.
UGGCAGCAUCAUGUGACUAGCGAGCACAACUUAAGCAACUCUCAUAAUUACAUCAGAAAGUAAUGGAAAACUCAGUCCACCGUUGCUAGAUCUGUUUAGCCUCCUAGUCUUCCACAUAAGUUUUAUCUAUAUUUGUCAACUUCAUCUCUCUUCUUUGGCACUUUUCCCUGCCUUCAUCCAUAUGCAAAAGACUGACUAGUUUCAUCAGCUACUUACUCAUUGUGAAAUACGUAUAACAGCAGGAAAAGGAAUUACAAAGCUUUAUUAGAUAUCCCUGACUAAACUGAGUUUCAGCAAAUGGAUUUUUUUUUUUUAAUUAACGACCACAAAUGCAGAUAUCUGAAUAAGAGAUCCAAAUGAAAAACUUUUUGUCUCUUCUAUCUGACCUCUGUUGCUUUUAAGAGCUAUUUGGGGAAAAGACUAUGGCUACAACUGUAGGAAAUAGCAAUUUAGACUACCUGAAAGCAAUAUACUUUGGAGCAACCCCAUCAUUUGAAGGUGAAUGACUGAAAGAGAAAAUAUGGCUAGGACAUGAAGGCAUACAGGCAAUUCCUGACUCUGAAUCUUUACAAGAAGCUAUAAUAAAAUGUGGAUGAAGAGGAGAGAGCUCUUCAGGUCAAAAUAAUGAUCCAUCUAAUGAAGUUCUGUGAUUUUUCUAUUCAAAACCAAAGGGCACCUAUAUCCCUUAUGUCAACUAUGUU